UAGAAUUAUUUUCAACUAAAUUGAAAUCUGGACUCUUUUUUCUUUACUCUAACGAGUUUAAGGUUAGAACUCCCUUUUAACGAGCUCAUGUUUUCAGCAACAAUGGGUCGAGGAAAGAAUCGAGGUAAAGUAAAAAGUUCAACUUUUAAAUCAAAUUUUACUAUUAAUAGGCCCGUGACUUGAUCCUGGGCAAGAGAUCAUAAUAACAUAGUAUCAGAGCUAUCCACAAUGACUCUCAGUUGCAAUCAUGCAGCGCAGGUGGUGACGCUGAAAUAGCGGUGUUUGCUCAGGGCUAGACUAAGCUAACACAAAGCCAGCCUGCAUGGGCACCAGGGCUACGGAGCGUGGUGGAAUGUUAUGUUCCCAUUGCAAGAAAACUUGUGUCCCACAUUAAAAAUAUGGGAUUUCAAUAUAGGGUAUAUAUAGAUUUGGACUUUUCAACCUAUAUUACCAUGACCAGCAUUAGGAGAAGAAGAGCCCGCGCUAUCUGUCAAUAUUCUUGCAGGGUGAAUCUUUCUAAAGUCUCCAUCAACAAUUUGGUUUGAGCUAGAUUGAAGAUUGCCAUCAAUUGUGCCCGAAUCUGCAGCCAUGUGAAGGUUUGGCUCAAAUUGUUGAUGAUCAGAGUUGCUAGUCCUCCUUGGAUGAAUGUUUUUGCUGUGCAGAGAAUCAAAUUUCUCUUUCCUUCCCUCUUCUGAAGUCAGUUGUUCAGCCUCAGCUCCAAGAGAAAGUGAUAUUGAUCCAGCAGCAAUUAAGCCUAUGACUAGCAACUUCAUCAUCAAACUUGCCAUAAUUAGUUCUGGAUGUGUUAGCGCUUUAACUGUGUUCCUGCUUUCCAAGCAACUUGACCCAGCAAACUAACUCUAGUAAUUAUUGUUGGAGAUAUUAAUGAAAAAUGGAACAGCUGCAGGAUUAAUUCACAAGGGUCUGUUACUCAAGAUAUUUACCAUUGAUGGUGAUAUCUCCCAAGAUUCAAUAGGUUCUUCCACUAUCAAAACGGGAACACUAAGAAGAAAUUUAUAAACCAGCAAAGAAAGAAGAAAAGGAUCUCAGUUUUUGUGUGCUACUGUGU
Molecule: unclassified non-coding RNA, 1069 nt
Filed under: Hevea brasiliensis (rubber tree)
Lineage: Eukaryota; Viridiplantae; Streptophyta; Magnoliopsida; Malpighiales; Euphorbiaceae
Source: RNAcentral